CCUACGGGGGGCUGCAGUGGGGAAUUUUGCGCAAUGGGCGAAAGCCUGACGCAGCAACGCCGCGUGGGUGAUGAAGGUCUUCGGAUCGUAAAACCCUGUCGUUGGGGACGAAGGUGGGGGCGUUAAUAGCGUUUCUGCUUGACGGUACCCGGAGAGGAAGCCCCGGCUAACUCUGUGCCAGCAGCCGCGGUAAUACAGAGGGGGCAAGCGUUAUUCGGAAUUAGUGGGCGUAAAGUUCGCGUAGGCGUGUGUCAUCCCCGAGCUCAACUUGGGAACUGCAUCUGAGACGGGAAGGCUAGAGUACUGGAGAGGGUGGUGGAAUUCCUCGUGUAGCGGUGAAAUGCGUAGAGAUGAGGAGGAACACCAGUGGCGAAGGCGGCCACCUGGACAGUAACUGACGCUGAGGCGCGAAAGUGUGGGUAGCAAACAGGAUUAGAUACCCCUGUAGUC
RNAcentral lists this ribosomal RNA (450 nucleotides) under uncultured bacterium. Its description in RNAcentral is "partial 16S ribosomal RNA". It matches the Rfam family "Bacterial small subunit ribosomal RNA", at positions 338 to 795 of the family's 1533-position model. The record is from RNAcentral.